UUUUUUAUAGGACAAGGAUUUCCUGCAAACAAGUUUGCAGGAAAUGCUACAUACAAGGCAAGGUGUCAAUUCGUGAGAGUGACAAGUGUCCUAGGUCAUGUGCAUUGCACAUGACCAGUUAACUCAAAUUUGAGGACUAACAGUGUUAGAAUUUUGCUUCAGAACCGUUUGCUCUCUCUCUCUAAAUCAGACGUUCUCUAUCUUCGUCCAAGAUCUCUCUCUCAUCCUCCGUGCUCAGCCUAGCCACAUCCACUCAUUCCCUCAGAAUUUUUCAAGAACGCAGUAGAGGAGACCAUCAUUCUUUAGAGGUUGGGCAGGAUUAAGUCACAUUUGUCUGUAAAGAAAUUGGCGUUGAAACCCUUUCUUUACCUUUCUUCAUUGUGGUGAUCUUAUUGUUUGAAGGUUAUAAAGGGAGCUAUCGUUCAAUUUUAGUUAAGUUUCCUUUCUAGUUUAAUUUAGGUAAUAAGGCGAAAGACUUGGCAGAGUAUGUAUUGUAUUGUUGUAUUGUCCAAUUUUGUCGCAUGAGUGUUCUUGUUCAUUUAUUAAAAAACCUUUAUAUACCGUACAAACCAAGAUAAUGGAAUAAAAUAUAAUUAUUCUUUUCUAAAUA
This is a long non-coding RNA of Quercus robur (English oak), 610 nucleotides long. RefSeq lists it as uncharacterized. The record is from RefSeq and is a predicted model, not a curated record. The transcript has 2 exons. NCBI's taxonomy places the organism in Eukaryota, Viridiplantae, Streptophyta, Magnoliopsida, Fagales, Fagaceae.